This 351-nucleotide ribosomal RNA is filed under the name Monhysteridae sp. VP-2019. RNAcentral describes it as "SSU rRNA". It matches the Rfam family "Eukaryotic small subunit ribosomal RNA", at positions 217 to 568 of the family's 1831-position model. The record is from RNAcentral. Lineage: Eukaryota; Metazoa; Nematoda; Chromadorea; Monhysterida; Monhysteridae.
CAAAAACAUCCGGCUUCCCCCGCUCUUUGGUGACUUUGAAUAACUCCUCCGACCACACUGUCUAACACAGGUGACGUAUCUUUCAUUCGUCGACCAAAUCAACUUUCGAUGCUACUUUAUGUGCCUACCAUGGUUGUAACGGGUAACCGAGAAUCCGGGUUCGACUCCGGAGAGGGAACCUGAGAAACCGCUACCACUUCUAAGGAAGGCAGCAGGGGCGCAAAUUACCCAUUCCCCUAUGAGGAGGUAGUGACUACAAACACCGAGGCGAUGCCCAUUCGGGUGUCGUCAUUGCAAUGAGAAAAAUUUAAAUCUUUUAACGAGGAUCUAUCGGAGGGCAAGUCUGGUGCC